This 633-nucleotide ribosomal RNA is filed under the name Penicillium oxalicum. Its description in RNAcentral is "eukaryotic LSU rRNA". It matches the Rfam family "Eukaryotic large subunit ribosomal RNA", at positions 24 to 669 of the family's 3401-position model. Lineage: Eukaryota; Fungi; Ascomycota; Eurotiomycetes; Eurotiales; Aspergillaceae. The record is from RNAcentral.
UACCCCGCUGAACUUAAGCAUAUCAAUAAGCGGAGGAAAAGAAACCAACAGGGAUUGCCUCAGUAACGGCGAGUGAAGCGGCAAGAGCUCAAAUUUGAAAGCUGGCUCCUUCGGGGUCCGCAUUGUAAUUUGCAGAGGAUGCUUCGGGAGCGGCCCCCAUCUAAGUGCCCUGGAACGGGCCGUCAUAGAGGGUGAAAAUCCCGUCUGGGAUGGGGUGUCCGCGCCCGUGUGAAGCUCCUUCGACGAGUCGAGUUGUUUGGGAAUGCAGCUCUAAAUGGGUGGUAAAUUUCAUCUAAAGCUAAAUAUUGGCCGGAGACCGAUAGCGCACAAGUAGAGUGAUCGAAAGAUGAAAAGCACUUUGAAAAGAGAGUUAAACAGCACGUGAAAUUGUUGAAAGGGAAGCGCUUGCGACCAGACUCGCCCACGGGGUUCAGCCGGCAUUCGUGCCGGUGUACUUCCCCGCGGGCGGGCCAGCGUCGGUUUGGGCGGCCGGUCAAAGGCCCUCGGAAUGUAACGCCCCCCGGGGCGUCUUAUAGCCGAGGGUGCCAUGCGGCCAGCCCAGACCGAGGAACGCGCUUCGGCUCGGACGCUGGCAUAAUGGUCGUAAGCGACCCGUCUUGAAACACGGGACCA